This 513-nucleotide ribosomal RNA is filed under the name uncultured bacterium. RNAcentral's name for it is "partial 16S ribosomal RNA". It matches the Rfam family "Bacterial small subunit ribosomal RNA", at positions 28 to 523 of the family's 1533-position model. The record is from RNAcentral.
GACGAACGCUGGCGGCGUGCCUAAUACAUGCAAGUUGAGCGCUGAAGACUGGUACUUGUACCGGUUGGAUGAGCAGCGAACGGGUGAGUAACGCGUGGGUAACCUGCCCUAUAGAGGGGGAUAACUAGAGGAAACUUUAGCUAAUACCGCAUAAAAUCUAAUAACACAUGUUAUAAGAGUUAAAGUGCCAAUUGGUACACUAUAGGAUGGACACGUGUUGUAUUAGGUAGGUGGUGAGGUAAAGGCUCACCAAGGCGAUGAUACAUAGCCGACCUGAGAGGAUGGUCGGCCACACUGGGACUGAGACACGGCCCAGACUCCUACGGGAGGCAGCAGUAGGGAAUCUUCGGCAAUGGACGAAAGUCUGACCGAGCAACGCCGCGUGAGUGAAGAAGGUUUUCGGAUCGUAAAACUCUGUUGUAAGAGAAGAACACCAGUAAGAGUGGAAAGCUUACUGGCUGACGGUAUCUUACCAGAAAGCCACGGCUAACUACGUGCCAGCCGCCGCCGUAA